This is a long non-coding RNA of Carassius carassius (crucian carp), 985 nucleotides long. RefSeq lists it as uncharacterized. Lineage: Eukaryota; Metazoa; Chordata; Actinopteri; Cypriniformes; Cyprinidae. The record is from RefSeq and is a predicted model, not a curated record. The transcript is spliced from 5 exons.
AAAAAAACAAAUGUUGGCUCAAGUGGGAGCAACAAUUCUGAACAGAUCAGAUUUUAUUACCUUGGGACAUCCAAAUGAUGUUGGAGGCACUAUUUUGAAUGCCUGCCUUUCAAUGGUCAGAGAUAUUGCUGAUUUAAAGAACAUAAAGGUCCAUUGUUUUAGCUCAUAUGUGACAGUGUCAUGGUUGCCACCAUUGUGUGCAGACCCUUCAGCUAACUUACCUGUAAGUAUGACUGAAAUUUUUAAUAGAAGUUAACUAGGGUCAUUUUAAGUGGCAUUUAAAAAUGUUUGUCGUCUGUAUAAUGACCAUAUAGCAGAAUGUGACUUCAUCGUACUGCCUUCCUGGAAAUCAAAUCAUUGGAUGAUAUGUAGUACUUGCACAGCAACUACAUCCUGGGCAGUGGAAAGAGUAUGGACGUGAUGAUCUCAACGGUGCUCCAAGGCAGAAUUGUUCAAAUAACUGUGGAGUUUUGUGUUGAUGGUAGGAAGAAUUGUUUAACAAUAAGUAAUGUUUUUUUUCCUUGAUAGCUUUGUCAGAUUGCGGUCUUUCAUUGUUAAUUUAUUUUUUAGUUUAUGAGCAAAAUCAAUAUCCAACAAACUUAAGAUAUUGAUACAGUCAAACAAAACCAUUUAAUUAAAGUUCAUUACUAUUGUUUAUGUAUGUUUUCAUGUAACUUACUGUUAAUGUUACAGUACGCACUCUAUGUUGUAAUGGGAGGCGUCUUUUAUUUUGCUGAGGUGAGCUAUCAAAACUAAUAAUUUGGGAAAAAGUUUAUUCUCAAAGGGUGAUUGUGAUUUACAUUAAGCAUAUUUUCCAGUCUGACAUGGCUGCAGUAAGGAGAUGGUGGUGCUUGGUCUUGCUAUCAAAUUAUCCUGUGAAGUAAGCCUAUUUCCAAGUUCUUCCAAUAAAUAAAACAUAUUUAUUAAUAGUACUAGGUGAUGGAGGAGUAAAAGUAGCAGUUUUUAUCCUCUCUUUAAUAAUGUU